RNAcentral lists this long non-coding RNA (448 nucleotides) under Lathyrus oleraceus (garden pea). RNAcentral describes it as "Pisum sativum (pea) long non-coding RNA (PSAT_LNC040596)". Lineage: Eukaryota; Viridiplantae; Streptophyta; Magnoliopsida; Fabales; Fabaceae. The record is from RNAcentral.
UUGAAUACAUAAUUGUUAAUGGUUAUUAGACUUUUAAUUCAAUAAGUUACAUAAUCCAAGCACACAUUUGUCUUUAAAAAAAAACCCAAUGUAAUUACAGUGAAAUUUGCUACAAAUGGGAAUAGGUUUCUAAUGACCAAAACCAAGCAAUUAGGAUGAAAUCACUUUGGACUUAGUCACGAAAACAGGUUGUCUUGAAGCUUGUAGCAUCCACUUUCCAUUACAUCAAGUCUCUUCAAACCUGUAAUCUGCAGAAAACAAAAAUAGCUUAUUUUAAAAGCACUUUUCAAAAGCACUUAGAAAGCUGAAAAACAACUAAAUGAAUCAUUCAGUUUGAAGCUUAAGUUUGAAGCUUUAUCCAUAAGGUUAAUCUAAAUAUCCAAAAAGCACUUUUAACAUUAGCUUAAAACAGAAAAAACCAAAUCCCACAUAAUCUGGGAUGAGACAA